GCAGACGUAGUUUAUCGAAAACGUUGGAUUGUGAUUCCAAAGAGAGGGGUUAAACCCCCCUCGCCCGCC
This 69-nucleotide transfer RNA is filed under the name Setipinna tenuifilis (common hairfin anchovy). RNAcentral describes it as "tRNA-His". It matches the Rfam family "tRNA". From Rfam's summary of the family: Transfer RNA (tRNA) molecules are approximately 80 nucleotides in length. Lineage: Eukaryota; Metazoa; Chordata; Actinopteri; Clupeiformes; Engraulidae. The record is from RNAcentral.